This 22-nucleotide microRNA is filed under the name Hyalella azteca. RNAcentral's name for it is "miR-196c*". Lineage: Eukaryota; Metazoa; Arthropoda; Malacostraca; Amphipoda; Hyalellidae. The record is from RNAcentral.
CGGUUCAGCUGCAUUGGUGGUG